This 36191-nucleotide long non-coding RNA is filed under the name Gossypium barbadense (sea-island cotton). RNAcentral's name for it is "long non-coding RNA (GBAR_LNC013415)". The record is from RNAcentral. Lineage: Eukaryota; Viridiplantae; Streptophyta; Magnoliopsida; Malvales; Malvaceae.
AUUGUCACCAUCCAUCUACCGAUAUUAAACCCAAGGAGAUUGUUAAGCACUGUCAAGCUUUCAUCUUCUCCCUUGUAACCCAUCAUCUACUGCAUUACAAUCCCAGGCUUUCAAUGUGCCCAGAACGGUUUAGCCGGAGUGCGCUUCAGUGCCUUCACUGCCAAAGGAUUGCCCUUGCUCUGCCAAACAAACAACUGUUAAAAACUUCAAUUGAAACAAAUAGAAUGAAAGGAUUGAUGACUUUGGACUCAAGCGUACCAUCAAGCAGGUGCCUUCAUGUAUGUUGCACACAGGGUAGUCAUGAGGGCAGCAGCUGUAGCGAUCUUCGCAGCAAGUGGCAGCCUCGAGUGGGCAGCAUCCCCAAGCAAAGCAGUAGUUAUAGUACUCGUAUAUGCAGCAGCAGGUAUUGCUCUCGGGACAGGAAUAAUAACUAUCGCACACGGUCGGAGGUUUUAUAGGAGAUGGUGGAGACGGUCCGGGAUUGGGGGGAUUUUCACCUGUUUUGAUCGGAUAAGAGGCUUCCAUCGCGAUCCCACAUUUGCCAGUUACGGUAUUGGCCACAUUCCUUGCCAUCCUGAUAUAGCCUGCUUCUCCCCAGCUGCUUCCCCAUGAGUUCUUUACAAUCCAAUAGUCUUUACCUUUCUCUGUGCCAUAUCCAACAGCAGUGACACCGUGGUCUAGUUGUGUUCCACAUUUUCCAUCAAAUAUACCCUGGAAAAAACCGUAAAAAUGUCAUUUAUCGGACAGUGCUCGGACUUUGAUAAUCCAGUUGUGGUCUUGCAGCAACUAGUAAUUUUGAUGGAUGCAGAAUCUUACUGAUUGAUAUAACUGGAAACUCCUUCCUCCUGCCUCAAUGGCAACGCUCACCGGUUGAUUCGCGACUGCCUUUUUCAAUGCUUUCUCGUCAUUUACCGGAACAUCCUCAUAAUCAUUGAUCGAAACAACUUUAGCAUUUUUCUGCAAGGUGAUUAAAAACACCAAGAUUCAGCAAGGAAAUUGAAAUUCUAUCUUUGUUCCUUUCCCAACUCUAAAAAUAAGAAACCUACCCGGUAUGGGUCACAUGUACCGUCAUGAGCGGUGUAAGGGUAAUCUUCUUCGGUGUCAAUGCCACCAUUUUUGAUGAUGAAUUCAAAGGCAUAAUCCAUGAGACCCCCAUUGCAACCUUCAUUGUAAGAUGUAUCACAAUCCACCAACUCCUGCUCAGAUAGUGAAAGGAGUUCGCCUGUAACAAUCUGGUUUAUCCCUUCCACAGCAGCAAUAGUCGAGAAAGCCCAGCAACUCCCUGUAUUUAACAUUAAAUUCUCAGUAAAAUCAUCUUAUUACAAACAUGUAAUAACUAUUUAAUAUAUUAUAUAAAAACAUUGGAAUCUAUCAAUUCAUUAAGCUGUCUAUAUCUUAUGUGGUUCAACUUUUACAGUGGAGUAAGCCCCUGAACUUUCGUGCAAGGAACCUUACUCCUUACCCCACCGAAAGCAGCCACCUCAAGCACUGACACUUCCACUAACUGCAGGGCUGCGAAAGCAUCCUUAUAUCCGACACAAUACUACUAUAGGUCAUAGUUCAUGGGUCGGGUCUAACUUUCCGCGAACCGUUGCAUCUGUUCAAAAUGCUCCCACCCUAUAAAUCCAUCAAAAUUUCGGACAAAAUCGGAUGAUAAAACUGUUCUUCUUAAGUCGAAAAUUAUAUUUAUAUAUUUUAACCCCAUUCACUUAAAAAAUAAGUAAAUAAAUCUAUAUACAUUAAAUCAAAAAAAUAAAUUAAUCUUUUUUGUUAAAUAUUUUAUCCGGUUAAAAACUAAUACGGCUGAAUCAAUAAUAAGACAGUGAGUCACGAAUGAGACCGAGACCAAUUUUUAAGGUAAGAUAUUAAAAUUUCUUUCAACAAAAAUACCAAUUUACUCUAAUCUACUUACUUACUUUUACCUUAUAUAAGACACCUACAUAUAUCCAAUACUCCACCUCAAAAUCUGAAUAACCAAACAGAACCCACACAAGCAAAGGUUUCUAAGAUAAGGACAGAGACAGGAACCUUCCCUGAAACAUCGGAACUAAGUUAUUUGUUUAAUUUUUUUUGUUCUUUCUCUCCAGGUUUUACAGUUGGCUCAAGAUAAUUAGUGUCUAUCUGGCGGCAGAAGACAUGGAUAGAUUCAUUUGACAGAAACAAAACAAAAUCAUCUGAAAAUAUAAGUUAAAAUGCUAGUUUUCAGACAGACAAGAGAAGCAUCCAUAAAAGAAAAUUGAGAGAGAAACUUACCGCAACUUCCUUGAUCUUUGACUUCAGCGACAGCCCCUUUUUCCCUCCAAUCAACGGAAUCGGGCAACUUUUCGCCGAGAAGCGCGGAGUAUCGGUCACUGGCCUUGGAAACUUUCCGGUUGGGUUUCUUGAUUCCCAGGUAGAUGGCUCGGUACUCCUCGUUGGUAAGAUCAGCAAAGCGGUUCAAACCAACCUUAAAACUCUGACUCUCAUCGGCGUUAUGUUCAUCGAUGAACCUAAGGUUAUCCUUAAAAAUCUGGAACCUCCUCUCUUUCUCACCCAAACCGUUGUAUGUUUUUCCAUGCUUUACAAGCCACUCCUCGUACAUGGCCAUAACUUCGUCGUCUGUUCUCCAACCAGACGUUGACUUGUCGGGAUGUGUUUCAUCGUAGGAUAUAAUGGACAUGUCGGAAGCUGAUGAUAAAGUGAACAUCAUCAGCAAAAGCAUCGCCAUAACGAAUCCCUGAGAACCCAUCUUGUCUGAGAAAAAGAAAAAGGAGAAAAGGAAUAGGAUUUUGAAUGUGUGGGGGAGAAGAAAGGCGAGAGACAGUAGGCUUAUAAAGGAAAAAAGAAGAUGAAUAGUAGUAACCCAAUGAGAAACUUGGAAAAAUAAAUUAAUAAAAGUACAGCGGAGAAGCAUGUGGAUGCGAUGUGAUAGGUAGAGCAAAGAGAAAGAGCAGCCCAGCCCACGGAGAUAGGAGCUUUUGUAAUAACAAUGUUUUCUACCUUUUUAGGGGUGAGUGAAUUGGCAUGUUAAACUUGAAAUUGAUUGCCAAACUUUGGGUGAUUUUGGAUUUGCCAUCUAGGUUAUAAACUCCAAACCUUUACCUCAAUCAAUGCCAUUAAUAAGAGUUGUUGUUAUAGCUCAAUCACACUUAUUCUAAAAAAAAAAUUAUAUUUAAAAUAAGUUAUAUUAUUUAAUUUAAAAAAACAAUAUAUAUAAUUAAAUUGAUUUAAUUUUAAAUUGAUCACUUAUCUUUAUUUUUGUAUAUAAUUUUAAUUUCACUAUGCAACUAUGAUAGUGUGAAAGUUUUUUUAGUGUAUAAUAUUUUACUAAAUUUUAUUAUACUCAUAAAAACUAAGGUUAAACAUUAUGUUCAUAAAAAAUUUAAUAAUUGAGUUAUAAAUAAAAUUUUCACAAUAUUUUUAUUUUUAAUUGGUUUAUUUAAAUAUUUAAUAUAAAAAUAACAUUAAUUAUUAUUUUAAAAAAAUAACCCUUAAGUAAUUUUCCUAAUAAUAUUAUCAAUAGAAGUGUUUUCUUUUAGAUAAUAUCUGGAAAAUAGAGGGAAAAAAGGUUUGGUACCCUUGAGAAAAACUUUGAAGACCACAAAAGAUAUUGUUUGAGGGUAAAAAAAGAAAGAUGUAUAAGUGUUUGGAUUGAAUUUGUAAUAUAUAUAUAUAUAUAUAUAUGCAUCAAUAAUUUAGGUGCUGACCUCCCCACAUUUCACUUUCAAUAUUAGAUGAUAGGAUAGGCGCCCCAUUAGCUGAGUCAUUCACGCCUUCUCUCUUUCUUCAUCUAUUAAACUACUUCCAUCAAAAUAUCUUUUACGAAACAUUAGAUUUUUUUUAUAUAUCGCUACUAAUUAAUAAUUUUUUAUAAUUUCUGGGUAUUUGAAAAGUAAAAUAAUAUGGUGACAUUGACCCCAAAAGUGAUAUGGGCCAUAGGAUGUUGUUGUCCCCAUCUAAUUGAUUAGGACGGAGACAAGCAACUUAAAUUUGGAAAUAUAUUCAUUCAUUCAAGACAUUAUCAAAGAAUCCAACCAAUUUGCUUAUUAUCAUAUCAAUGAUUUCCUUAAAUUAUGCCUAUAUAAAUAUUCAUUAAAUUAUUUUUGCCAUCCAACUAUCAAAUGUUAUAAUAUAGUCAUCCACGUUGUUACUGAACUCAUUCAUUUAAUCUUUAAAUUGCACGUCAGAUCUUAUAUUGUAUAAUUUAAAAUGAAAAUUUAAAAGAAAAAUUGAUGUUGUAAAAGUGGAUGUUAUAAAAUAUCAAUUAUGAGGUUUUCGAAGUUUUUUACAAAAGUUUUAUCUUUCACUCUUUUUUUUUUCAGUUUUAACCUCUCUCUUUUUUUAAUUUUUACUUUUAAAAGUGUUGAAAAAUAUGAAACUGACAAUUUGGUGCUAGAAUGAGUGCCUACUCUCCUAACCACCAAAUUUAUAUAGAUAUAAAUUUCAUAUUUAAAGUGUUGGCAUUUUAUUAAACAAAUAUUUUGGGCUAUGUUGAUUAUAAGGUUGAUAUUUAACCCAUUUUAAAAGAUCAUAUUACCUGAGAAUCUUAUAUUGGUGAUUGAAUUGAUUCGAAAUUACCCAAAACAAUCCCUUGGAUUAUGAUUCUGGUUGUUGAGCUACUAAGAGUCUAUUUUUACAGUUUUUGUUAUUAUUAUAAUGUAUUAAACUUAUUUUAUUGUUGUUUUAGUGGGAUUGGGAUAAAUCUUCAUAUGUAAGCAAGUCUCGAAACAAAGUAUAGCUAUUUUUCUUUCUCCAAUUUCGGCAAAGGACCAAGAAGAAACACGAUAGCAUUGUUUUCUCAUUUGUUUAUGUUUAAUUGACUAUUUACCUAAUUGCUCUUAAUUAAAAUCAUGCAAAGCUCAAUAUUUACAACCCAUAACCAUCCAAAUUAAUUUGUUAUGGUCUAAUUACAACAUAAAUCCUCCUACUUUAAAUAUUUAGGCCAUUAUGUUAAGAAAAUUAAUAUUAAGCAACCUUUUCAUCUUUUACGAUUUAGUCCUUUUAAAUUAAUUAACUAUUUAAACGAUGAAAUUUCUUAACCAAAUUUUAAUACGACCAUAAUGACCUUGUAAAUAUUUAAAUAUUUAAUAUUUAAAAACUGACACACCGAAUUUAUGGUCUCGAAACCAUUGUUCUGACACCACUAAAAAAAGGGCUAUUACAUGGACGAAGCAAAAUGUAGCAAGGGAAAGGUGGACAAAAACAUUUCUUUUCAAGUAACGAGGGAAUGCUCACUUCCCAGAAUGCUACCAUAAAGGACCUUUAGGAGCAAAUAGCCUUUACUCAUUCAGAAUUUCAAUAAGGCUUUCAAAAAACAAGAAAGGAGAAUUAAAAAGUUUAAAGUUAGUGCUAAUGCUCCCAAGAACAACUCAAAGGGAAUUGUGAUUAAAGAGGAACCCAAGAAGGAUAAGAAGAAAGGUGUGCAAUGUUAUGAAUGUCAAGUUUGUGGUCUUAUCCAAUUAGAAUGUACCAAUACAUGACUUGUGUAUGGCAUAACUUUACUAGCAACAGUGUAAUUUAUAGCUCAAUGAAAGAGUUAACGAUAUCCUCUCAUUGGCAUUGUGUGGAUUGAUAAAUAUAGAACAUUGUCAUGGGUUGCUUGUUCUCGAACGAGCAAUUUAUCACAUUCAUUUGUUUACAAUGAUCAUAUUAAUCAUUAAGAAGACACAAUUAUGACAAUGAGAUAAAAUAGGAUUGUAUUGAGUGAAAGGAUUUAACUCAAAGGAAUCAAGGAUAUCAUAUGAGGGUAACACACACAUGACGAGGUCAUUGGACAAAGCAGUUGGAUGAAUUUCUUUCGUAAAGUAUAUACAAUGAUGAGUUUUCAAUCAUGGUACUUCUUGUGGACUGACUCUAUGAUUAAGUAAUUACGAAUUAUUGGAACGAUGCUUCUAGGCAUAAUUGCAAUUACUAGAGCCUAAUUGUAUAUGUCCGAUUUGUCCCUCUGCUAGCUCAACAAAAGCUUGAUCGGAUUGCAUUUGAAUAAAAAGAAAAUUCUAUAACUUUGGAAAUAAUUUAAUUGAGUUGGUUUAUUCGAUGUGAAAUUAAAUUGGGCAGGUCUAAGAAUUGUUCAACCUAGUGACAUUGAUUAAAGAAUUUUCUUGAAAAAUUAAUUUGGAAAAUCUAAGUGAUUUUUGGGAAAAUUUAAUUUUGAUAAAGUAAAAUUACAUUAGUCAAAUUAAUUGAAAUUAAUAUGAUAUUUUUAAAAAUUAAUUUUCAAGUCAGAUAAUUGACCCAAUAGGUAAUUGAACUUGAAAAUUAGACCUGAGAUCGUAAAUUGGGCAAGAGCCCAAAACCGAGACCAAGACCCAAAAAUUGGUCGAAUCGAGCCUUGUAUGUGAAACUGAGCCGACGGUCCAAUCGGUGGGUGGACCGAACCAAUCAGGCCAUCACUAGCCCGAACUGAAUCACCAGAAACUUAACUAGCUCAGGGUACCGACAGUUGCAACGACGACAUUACGAUGGCUGGCAAAUGGUGGUGGUUCUUUGGUGGUUGAGCAGUGGAAUAAUUACACUCCUAUUGGGACUUUACCAGAGAAUUCGAUUUCAGAUUAACUAUUUCAAAAAUAAUAUUAUUUUAAUAGAUUUAAUAUUAAAUUAAAUUUAAUACUUCUCUUAAUAGUAUUUUAUUAAUUUAAUAUUAAAGUGAUUAUCUUAAUAUUAAAUUUAAUGUUUAUCUUGUAGAUAAAUUUAAUAAGAUUUAAUAUUAAAUUUAAUCUAAUAUUUAUCUUGAUAAAUUUAUAUUAAUUUAAUAUUAAAGUGAUUAAGUUUAAUUAUAGUUGAACUCUCUAAACUCUCCCUAUAUAGAGAGAGUAUUGAGUCAUUAUUUACACAUACUUGAAUUCAAAAGAAAGUUGUAGGGAGAAAAUUCUCUGAAGAAAUUAUUUUAGAAAAUUUUUAGAGAUAUUUUUCUUAUUUACAACUUGGCCCAAAAGUUUAGAGAAAUUGCAAAAUUACCCAUACUGGUAAUUCUUGUGAAUUUUUUUAUUCAAAGCGAGCCCACACUCAUCAAACGUGAGCUUGAGGAUAGCGGAGAAGACUACUUGAUUGAAGCGUCCAUCCUAGAUGAAUCGAAAAUGUACAAUUUUGAUUAAGUGUUUAUUACUUUAGAUAUCACAACCAAGUUUUGGUUUUGGAAAAAUAUUUUAAAACUCUGGUUUUUCCUAAAUUCAUUUUUCGCUGCGUUUUCCAAACUCAAUUUUCCAACAACCUUAUGUAUGCAUAAUGACACAACUCGAACUGCUACCUUGGCACAAUCCUGGCUUGGUCCCUCCUGGCGUACCCACUUUUAAAGCAGAACUUGAAACAUAAACAAACAAUUAUAAGUUUAAAUGAACUUAGUGAGUUUUAACCCAGAUUACCUUGAAGCAUUUGUUGUUUAAUUCCUCAUCUUGAAGAUUCUAGAUUUCCUUUUUUUUUGUGGAUACUUUUUUAUUAUCGAGCGUAUACAUAUACUCCAACUUCUAUACUUAACCAUCCUAAACACAGUUCACUCAUUGAGCAGAUUCCAAACUUCACCACUCAAUACAAAUCCCAUUCCUUUUUGGAAAACAAAUACACUUCUCAGAAAGAUAUUCAUACGGAACCUACCUUUGACAAAUCCUCACUCUGUUAGAUGUUGAAUACCUACCUCAGAAUGGGGUACUCAUAGAUACUAUUAAGAUGUUGAAUACCUACCUCAGAAUGGGGUACUCAUAGAUACUAUUAUUGGCGGAUACUUAUACUAACUAAUCUUUUAAGAUGAACUUCAUACAUAUCCUACUUUUGGCAGAUUCUCAUACUAAAAUGACAGUGAUCAUAUUACCAGUCAGAUCAUGUCUUAAAUCAACUUAGAUCACAACUUAUUCUGAUGGAUGAAAUCUUUUAAGUCAUCCUUUGGAAUCCCAGACAACCAUGUUACAUAUCAUGAGAACGCUCUGAUUUGAUAGACAACUUAUACUUCAGAUAACCCUUUUAUAUAAAGCGUGAAACACUCAAAUUUGGUUGAUAUUAGAUAAUUCAGAUUGCUUCCUUACAUAACAUAAAUAUAUUCAGAUAUAAAAAACUCUUAGACUACUCAUAAUUACGAAUACGCCAAAUUACUUGUACUCACAGACUACUAUGGAGGAUUCACCCUUCAAAAACACUAUUGAGAACUCUUUCAGGAAAUGUCUUUAAUUUAUAUUCGACUUCAUCACAAGGCUAUCCAAAAAGAGAUGUUUUCAAACUUAUUCAUAUUUAUACCACAGAGUUAUCUAGUGAAGAAGUCUCUAAACUUACCCUGAUUUCACCACAAAAGCGGCUAUCUAGAUCUCGCCUCAAGGGCGUUACUAAUACGCCACACAGGCAUCACAGAAUAUUCCACAAAGACUUUACAGAAUAUGCCACAUAGGCUUUAUCGAAUAUGCCACAAAGGCUUUAUAGAAAAUUACGUGUUUACUGUCCCAACAGACCAUUUUAAAGGGUGCCAUGGAUUUCUCCCACAUGGUUUUGUACAUAUUUUCAUGUCAUGUUCUGCCAAUCCAUUGUACAUCUUACCGAAGGUAAUUGUAUUCUCAUUGUCAUAUGAUGCCAUGGGUCUCUACCAUAUGGUCUUACACAUAUUUACAUAUUGUGAUCUGUCAGUUAGGUUAGGAAUGUACCUGCCCUACCGGAAGCAUCACAAAUAGUGUGUUACUUGUUUAACACAGAACACACUUACCUAGAUUCAUUCACACUCCUGACAAAUUCAUAUUGUUCCAUACUUGAUUUCAUAUGCAUGUAUAUCACACAUCAUCUUAUUCAUGCAGUAAGUCAUAUAUCUUAUUUGUAGACAUAUAACAAAUUUACAAUACUUUACACACACAUACACUCACUAGUUAUCCGAGAUGACAUUAACAUACGAAAUUUCAUUGUAAACUAACAUACGUAAGUUAGAAUAUAUACUCAUUUGAAACUCACAUUUAUUGUAGCUCGAAGUUCCAAAUCCGAUCAUCCUUUCUGAACCAGCAGUAACAACAAGGGGUUGAAAGAUCCACUGAUUAACCCAAAAAUCGUAACUUCCAAGUUAACAAAGAAGAAAAUAAUGUUUAAGUUUAAGAAGAAAAACCAGAAGGUGGAACAGAAAAAAGAAAAACCAUGUCCCUAUUCUCUUCUUACAAUAUAUAUACUUAGUUCCUCUUUGUGGAUCUUGACAAGUGUCGAAUGUAUACAGAAAUUGUCCUUUAAAUAACCUACAAUAACCAAAAUAAAUAUAAAAAAGAAUCCAAUGGAAAUUUUGUUUGACCAAUUAAUCCAUUCGUUGACUCUCAACCAAUCACAUUACAGAACCUACCUUACAUAGUAUUUAAGCAAACCAGACGUGCCAUACCUUUGGCGAUUACUCUCAUAAGGCGUGUUUUUCAUUUGUCUCAUUCCUUCAAUUGAAGAAUACCCCGUGAUGAAAUCCUUAGAUACUUCCACAAGGGGAUACUUUAUGUGCCAAACUUUAAUUUGCCAGAAGCCUGUAAAAUGGUGGACUAUGCUACCAUAACACGCCAAAGCAGGUAACUUUCAAAUCUAUACACCUUCUUGAGUCUAUAAAAUUUAGGGUGUGACAUGAAAUAUGAGAAUGCUACUUUGGCCAAAUAUGUGGCUACUAAAGAAACACUUCUUGUAGAAGAAUUAUUCAACAUGGCUAAAAUAAUAUAAGAAUUUGUUAAAUCCAAGCUUAUGCUUAAAAAGUUCUCUGUCAGUAGAAAUAAGCUUUAGGGUUUGUAAUUAACUUCGGAUUAGGAUUUUAGGAUGGAUUAAGUACUGAUUAACCAAUUAUUACCUCUCAGCAUCUAAUUAACUAAUCGAUUGGUUGAUACUCGCUUAUCUCUCAACCUCGCUUAUCUCUCGACCUCAUUUAGCCUAUGAUAACUUCCUAGGUUUGUCAGUCAAAGUUUAAGAACACGUAAUCUAUAUGAAUUAACGCUCUUGGGAAAACCCUAAAUCCUUCGUUGAUCAUAUCCCCAUCCACUUGUUAAUCUUCUCUAAGGGAUUUAGUCACUCAUGUUAUUCAUAAUCUCGACUCCAAUUGAAUAAAUCAUAUGAAUAACACAAUUGAUUUGGAAGAGAAACAAGAUUUGAAUAAUCGUGUAUUUGAUAUCAAAUGAAGAAUAGAGUAGCAAAUCGAUUUAUUGAAAUAAAGAAAUAAAUCGAAUGUAAAGAAAAGAUAAAUUGCAAUACUUCAACAAAAUAAAUAAACUCAUGGAUCGAAACCGAAUCCAAGAGGAAAAAUAACUAGUUUAUGAAAAGUUGAAAGAAAAUUGAUCUAGUCCUACUUCUAAACUACUAUGGUUUUUUAGUGCGUCUAGGAUGACUUAGUUACACCAAACCCCUAAUAUCCUAUGUAUAGAAGUGUUGGCAGCCCAACUUAGGUUUUCAGCAUGUCCUAGGUCUUCGUAUAAGGUUGAUUGCGCAAACGAAAAUAGCCUCGAUAUUUUUGGGCAUCAUGUUAACCUAUGUCACACUACACAAUGUCUAUGGCGUGACAUGACAUGCAAAUUUUGCCUUCUUGGUUCAAUUUCAUGCUUUGAUGGCUCGGGAAACUUAUGUAUCGCUCGUCUUUUGCUUCCAAGCUAAUUGGGUCUUUAAUUCUUCAUCUUACACACUCAAUUAAACAUAUUAGCAAUACCUAAGGCCCGUGUCAGCUUGAUGGGUCACAACACUUAUAAAAUGUGUUAAAAAUAUUUAUUUUACUAAUAUUUAAUCCUAAGGCCUAAGUACCGAAAAUGUAAUAUAAAAUGCUAUAUUGCUUAGAAAACAAGCUCCUUAAGUUUGAAAUUGACUUGAAUUAACUACUAUAUUUAACAGUAGGUCACUAACAUUAGCUUCAGAGAAUUCGUAACAAAUGCAUGAUCUCAAGCCCUUGAAUUACCCUUGAUCACAAAACCCAUUUGUUCAUACAAGAUGACAUAUUUGGGUUGCUAACACUAGCUUCAGAUCAAGAUUGCUAACACUAGCUUAGUUCGAUGCUGCUAACAUUAGCUUUAGAGAAUCCGCAACAAUUUUUGAAUUUCAAGCUAUCCAAUUACCCUUGAUCACAAAACACGUUUUCCUUUUUGGAAAUAUGAUGACAUGCCAUUUGCAUCUCAGUUGUUUACUAAAUCCACAUGGCCUAUUAUUGAAUUCGUGUCAUUUCAAUCUCUGUAAUUGUGUACACAUUUUCACAUUCCAAAUAGCAUUUCAUAUACAAUUUGAAUUAUAUAACAUCAUCUUGUACUCAAUAUCCAGUUGUAUAACCAUUUCCAAUUCAUUCUAUACUGCAUAUCUAUUUGUAUUUAUCACAAAUCUCAAAUUUUUUGAUUUAGCCCUUUAGAUGUCAUAAGUCAUUAAAAUUUUACAUGUAUAUAAUUUAAUAAAUAUAACCAUACAAUUCAAACAUAAUAUAAAACAACAUAGUAAUUUAUAUAUGAACUUACUUGAGAAAACAACAACCAACAAGCUGUCAAUGACUAAUUCAUAAUUUCUUUUUUUCUUUAAUUAUCUACCAAUUGAUUUAAAUCCCAAUCUAUAAUGAUUCAUUACAAUUUAUCAAUUCCAAUAGUCUGGCAUCAUCCUACAAUAGGUAUAAUUCAGUUCAAUUUCACUUUUUAAAAGUUCCCUACAACUGAAAUUAUCAUAACUUAACAAUUUAGUCAUUUUUUCAUUUUUAAGUUUAAAAGCUAACAUUUAAACACCAAAAGCUUCAAAAAUCAUCAAUGGAAACUUUUAUAGACUUUAACAGUUUUGAAAACAAAUAUAUGAGUUAGUUAAAUCGAGUUACAACGAUCUGAAAAACAUAACCAUUACAAGAAACGAGCUAGAUUAAGCAUACCAGGCAAUAAGUUAAAGUUGGAAGCCCUUGACAAGUUCUUCUCCAAGGUUUGGCUAUGGUGCUUCGGUGGUGAAGAUGAAAGAAAAUAAAAUACUUUUCAUUCUCUCCAUUUUCUACUUAUUUUAUUAUACCUAAUAUACAUUAUAAUAUAUUUAACUUAAUUUUAACCUUUAUAAAAUAAAAAAUCCUUCACCAACCAUUCAUACAAGUUCCUAAAAUGGUCUACAUGCCAUAUCAGGCCUUGUUUAUAUACCUUAUGAGUCCUUAUACAAUUAAAAGUUCAUAGCAAUUAACUUUUAUAACUUAUACAAUUUAGUCAUUAUAUCUUAACUAACUGAUUAAUAAAAUUACCGGACUAGAAAUCAAUAUAACUCUACAAUAGACUCGUAUACAUUAAUAAAUAAUAUUUUGAAACUACAGCUUCUGGUACUAUUGAAAAAUUGGCUAUUACAGUAAUCUUGUUUUCUCAUUGUGUAUAAGCCUAAGCCAUUCAUGAUUUGCUUUCCCCUUGGACCAAUAGGUACCCUUGUAGUUGGUGGUGGUGCUGCUGAGAUUUAUGAUGGAGGACCUUGGAAUGUUGCAUCUUGAGCUAUCUUACUUCUAGUGGAUAGGCAAGAAUUGAAUUAGGCUUAAUUGUUAAGUCCUAAGCUUUCCCUCUUUGGGUCCCAAGUUCGAGCUACCUACCUCCCAUUUCUUUUCCUUUUAUUUUUAGCAACCUAGGGUAAAAGUUACAUCUAAAAUAUAUACGAUUAGGAAUAAAAAUUAAACAAAAACUAGACUUUAGGCGUAAUGGUUAAAAUGCUAAGUUUCCCUUUCUAGUGAAUGGAGUUUGAGCCACUCUAGGAGUGUGCAAAUUUCGGGGAAAAUUGAAUUAAUUUGGGUUAAACAGUCAGUUAAUCGAAUUAAUUUGGUCAGGGAUCAGUUAAUAAUUUUUUGGAAGUUCGAUUAACAAUUAAUGUGGCUCGAAAUCUAUCGGUUAACUGAAUUAACCGAACUUAAUAAAUAAUAUUAUAAUAUAUAAGUAUUCGAUCGCGGUCGGUCGGUUCGGUUAAUUUUUUAAAAGUAUAAAUUAAUUGGUCGGUUAAUUUGGUUAAUUUUUUUAUAUGCUUUAUACUUGUUUUAGCCAAAAAAAAUUUAGUUAAUUCAGUUAACUGACCGAAUUAACCGAAAAAGUUUGGUUCGGUUAAUUUUUUUGAAAAAAUUUCAGUUCGAUUAAUUUUUUUAAAUAAAUUUCGUUUCGAUUAAUAGUUAAGGGUUUAAAAGGAUCGGUUAAUUCGAUUAGUGGUAGUUCAGGUAUGUUAACCGAUUAAACACCCUUAAGCCACUCUCCUCCCUUCUAUUCCUUUUAUUUUUGGAAGAAAUGGAUAAAUUGCCAUGAAGCCUCCUAGGGUUUGAAAACCCUAGGUACUUAGUUAAUCUUUUCACAAUUAGACUAGGCAUAUUGCUUUAUUCUCAAUUCUUAUUAGGAUUUAUCCUUAUUUUCUCUAUUUAUUCUCCUUUUUCUUUUUCUUUUUUCACUCUUAUUUUCAUCAUAUUUUUCAUCUUUUUGUCGCUAAAUAUUUUCUUUUCCCAGAUUAAAAUAUUAUCUAUUCAACCAAUUUUCUACUGGUUUCAUAAUUAUCGUCAAUAGUAUCUCGAUCUUUGCCAAGAAAUGAUAAGUACAUCUUGUUCCGAAGUUUAGAUUCUAAAUUUUCGUAGUAUAUCUAUUUGACACUAAUCUUGCGUUCGAUAAAACAAUAUUUUAACGGUUCGUGUAAAAUCUUUUGUUAAGCUUGAAAAAUAUUGAAAUCAAUCGUUAACUCGUGUAUAAAUUCAUUGAAUGACUAGAUUUAGGAAAAUUAGAUCAGAUUUGAUCGUAAGGAACUUCAAUCAGACUCCCAAUGAAAGGUGUGUGUUCUUUACCAAGUGAAUCAAGGCAAACUAUGUGUAACGUUAGGGUACUUUGAUUUUCAAACGGCCAAGAACCUUUCACACAACCUGCCACAAGGUCAUGUCUCUUCUAUAGGGUAACUUUUAUGUUUGCUACACAACCACAGUCUCUUACACGAUCGUGUAACCCUUCCACACACCCUAUAACUUCUCACACGGCCUGGCCACAUAGCCGUGUGUCCCCUAUUUUACAGUAUUACCCAGAAUUUUAUGAAUUGUUAAUUUAGUUCCUGUAUAACCCCUGAAUUAUUUCUAAAAUUCUCAUUCACUCGAUUAAGUACCUGAUAUUAUAAACAUGCCAGAAUUUGUAAGUUGAUGAUUGAGUUGCUAUUGUAUAAUGAUGAUAUGUGAAAAUUACAUGUUUACUGUCAUUGUUUCUUUGAUAAAUUGAUACUAUUAUUCUUACCACUGUAUUAUCGAUUGCAUGUUUAGCAUGCCUACUAUUACAUUUGAACCGAAUAUAUGUGAAGCAUGUCUACUACUACUAUUGAACUGAAUACAUGUUAAGCAUGUCAUACCGCAUUGCAUAAGGUGGAACGAUUCUACGGAGGAAGAACUGGCAAUUUAAUAAUCUGCAACAUUGGUGGUUCAUCUACAAAUUACUGGUAACUUUUAUCUGAAAAUAUGUGCAUCCAUAACAAGUGGCAAUUUAUUUGCAGAUGUCUUUAUCUAAAAAUAUUGGUGGUUCAUCCAUAAUUUUUACUAUUGUCAGUUUAUCUGCAAAUAUUAACGGUUCAUCCACAAAAUAGAGUGUAUUGGUUGGAAGAGUUUCGGGGAAAUCUUACUAUGGAGUGUAACAGAGUAUGGGUAGGAUCUUUUUUGUUAUUCUUGCAUCGCAUUGACAUUCAUAUACAUGCUCAAAAUAAAUGAUGGUUUAUGCUUUGCUAUAUGAUUGUGUUUGUUCUAAAAACGGUUUGUUAUAUGCAUGGUUACUAUUUUGCACUAGAUUAUUUGUGAUAGGACUCACAUUGAGCUUCUUAAGCUCACUCCCCUUUAAUUUUCAUCUUUAUAGAAAACCCAUCUGGUUAGUUUGCGAACACAGUAUUUGGAGGGUCUUGGCUUGAAACCGUUUUUAUAAAGUAUUUUAAUGAAAAUUUUUGUUAUUCAGAAACUAUAUUAUUUUAUUUUUUAAUUGUAGCAUGAUACUUUGGUUUUGGGUUUAUAUAGCAUGCAUUGCAUUUAAUUUGAAUUUAGGAUAUUGAAACAUAGAUUUAUAAUAAAUUAUGUAUAAAAUAAUUCUGAUUUUUCUUAAUUGAAACUAAGUUGAAUAUCACUUUUUCGCUGCGAGAUUUUAAAUAAAUUUUGAUUAGUAAAUAAAUUAGAAAUUAAUUAAGUUUUCAAAAGCAAUCACCGUUACAAGAAAAAUGGUAAACUUAAUUAGUUUUUGUUAACACGUGAGUUUUUCUGGAAAUAGGCUAAGUUUUCUUCUAAGAUAAAUAAAAUUUUUAAAAUGACUAUUUUAUAAACGUCAUUAAAUUAUUGGGAUAUUUCGUUGGCCAAUGUAAUCUUCUGAAUUCGGGCCUAACAUAUAGGCCAAGUUGGAAGAUUACAUCUAAUCCCAGAACUAAGCCCACCAAACAAUUGUUUUGGAGAUUCCAUAGCUUGGGUUAUACUAGCAUAAUGACAGAAUCACCUAAGAUACAUAGGGAGUUAUAAAUCUUGUGAUUAUAUAUUUCAUUCCUAGAAAUAUAAUACUUCUAUUCCUUGUGUAGAAUCUUGCUAAGUUCAUCUGAACUUACUAUUGUACUACAUUAGAUACAGAAGAAAAAUUAUCAAAGUCGUAGUGGAAGAGACCAAGGCAGACUUCGCACACAUUGCGCUAAGUUUGUAACAACUGUAACAUGGGCUACGUUUCGACCUCAAGAUACAGGUUGCUUCACACCAAGAAUGAGUGUUUGAGACCCUAGUGGAGAAAAUAAAAAUUGUGGAGGAGAUCAAACAAGUGGAACACGAAAAAUAAGAUAAGAGUAAGGUCUCGAUUAAGAGAAAUUUUUGUUCCACUAGUUUGAAUUCUCGUCCUCACAAAUGGGCCAAAGAGGGCAGACCGCAUCAACGGUUGUUAUGUCUAACUCAUGGUAUAGGACUCCCAACUAUUCAUACUAUGAUAAGCGCCAUGUGAGCGAGAGCUAGAAAAUGUUAGGUGCUUGCCUAAGGUAUGGGUCGGUAGAGCAUUUGGUAAAAGAUUGUCCUCGUUGAAACGAGAAAGUGCAAGCUCUGGGCCAAAAUCAGACACAAAAUCAGAGAGCAGGUCAAUUACCUCCAAGGGGUCGAGGUUAAAAUAGGGUCGCAAAUACCAUAGCAACUGGUGCAAACCAAACUAAGGCUAGAUAACCUACCCUUAUUUAUGCUGUUAGAGGUCGUGAUGAUAAAGAUGCGUUCGAUGUCAUCCCAAGUAUUUUUACCAUUUAUUUUGUCUCAUAUUUCGCCUUAAUAGACAUAGGAUCUAUCCAUUCAUAUGUUGCUUGUAAUAUGAUUGAUAAGUUAGGUUUCAUAGUAGAGGAAUCCACGACUGAUAUUACCGUAGUAAGCCCUUGAGGACAAUCGAUUGUUGUGAGUAUGAUCUAUAAGAGAUGUCCAUUAGAGGUUCAAGGUGUAGUAUUUCAGUGUAUCUUAUAGAAUUGCCUUUUGGGGAGUUUGAUUUAAUUAUAGGAAUGGAUUGAUUAGUAGAACACCAAGUUAGCCUAGUUUGUGCAUCUAAGAGAGUAACCUUGAAAACAAUUGAGUGUAGUGAGAUUGUUAUGGUUGAAGAGUGACAAAACUAUUUAUCCAAUGUAAUCUCUACUAUGGCUGUUGAAAAAUUAGUUUAGAAAGGGUGUAAGGCUUAUCUAGCUUAUGUGAUGGAUGUGAAUGUGAAUAGCUCUAUCAUAGAUGGUAUCCGAAUAGUUAGGAAUUGUUAGAUGUCUUUCCUAAGAAACUACCAGGGUUACCUUUAAAUCGUGAGGUAGAAUUCAAAAUUUAGUUGUUGAAAGAGACUGUUUCAGUGUCCAUUUCUCCCUACCGCAUGGCACCGAAAGAGCUUCAAGAAUUGAAAGUCCAACUUCAGUAGCUUUUGGAUCAUAGGUUUAUUAAACCCAAUGCUUCUCUAUAGGGAGCCCCAAUCUUGUUUGUGAAGAAGAAAUAUGGCUCCCUAAGGUUGUGCAUUGAUUAUCGAUAGUUGAAUAAACUGAUCAUUAAGAACAAAUAUCCUUUGCCUAGGAUCGACAACUUAUUUGAUCAAUUUCUUGAUGAAACAGUGUUUUCCAAAAUAGAUUUAAGGUCCAAUUACUAUUAACUAAAGGUGAAAGAGGCGAAUAUGCCUAAAAUCGCAUUUAGGACUCGGUAUAGACAUUUGGAAACAACCCAAAAAUGUUUUUGAAAUCCACAAAAAGGAAGUUAUGUUUUUCGGUCACGUGGUAUCCGCAAAGGGUAUCCAUGUAGAUCCGAAAAAUAUAGAGGAGAUUCAAAAAUAGAAACAACCCAAAAUUGUUUUUGAAAUUCGAAGUUUCCUUGGUUUAGCCGGGUAUUAUCGUGGAUUUGUUAAAGGGUUUUCUCUGAUUGCCGCUCCACUAACUAAGUUUGUCACGCACCAUAUUUUAUUUAUUUUAUUCCAUUAGUUUAUGACAUAAGAAAUUAAAUGUCCUGAUGGUUAAGUUAGUGAAUUAUUUCCAAAAGGUCUCAUGUUCAAGCCCACACACUCCCAUAUUUUUUAUUUAGUUUUUGAUAAUUUCCAUCCACCUCACUUGCCUUGUGGGCAAGGAUUCCUUUCCUUUUCUUUCUAGUUAACUUACCUCACUUACCUUGUGGGAAAGAAAUCGUAUUCUUUCACUCCCAUGAUCCAUUCUUAGUGCCUUUGUCCCUAUAUUUCCUUUUUCCCUCUCUUACCAUACCUUGUUCUACCAUGCACCUAGACACUUUUAUUUUUAUUUUUUUCUCAUCUUUUCUCUCCUCCUCUCCCUUUAGUCUCUCAUCCUCAUUGCUCCUCCCUUUGAUCUUAUUUUAUUUUGUUUUCACCAUCCAUUCUCCUCAUUUCUCCUCCAUUCCACCACAUCUAAAGGCCACCAAACCACCACCUCACUGUUGACCAUUCCUAAAUUCUCUGAUUCUUCUUCUUUUCUCCUCCUCUUCUCGUACAUGAUUUCUUUAAUCCUUAAAUUUUGAUAUUUUGUUCAGAAAAAGGAGUAUAUCACAUUCUAUUUCUAUUUUUUUAUAUUGUGUUAUUUUCUAUCUAGUUGCGAAUCCUCCUUUCUAAUCAACUCUCCGUGGGAAGUUGUAAAGUAUCUAUUCCUUUAAUAUUAUGUAAGUUUGGACGAUCCUCUAUCUAUAAUAUUCUUUCAUUUAUUUAUAUAUAUAUAUCUAUUUGAUAAGGACAAUACUAAUCAUUCGGUUUAUUGGAUAUUAUGAAUUGCUAUUCAAGAAUCUCAGAACCGUACCUCCACUUUUGGAAGUGUGCGAUUGUACAUCGAUUAUGUAAGUAUUUCACCAAAUCACAAAUCAAGGGUUAUUCAUUAAAAUAACUUGUUCUAAUAUGGUAUGAAUUAUUUAUAUGUACGGAUUUAAGAUUUGAUCUCUUCCUUUAGAAGUUAGAACUAAAGACGUUAUCAGAUUUGCAAAAUCAGGUGUGGGAUUUUCUUUGAUAAAAUAUAUGAUAUUAUUUUUAUUCAAGAUAAAUAUAUAUGUGAAAGAAUUAAAUAAUUGUUCAAUAGAAUUUAUGAAAAAGGAAAAUGAGAGAAUACGCUAAGUAUUCAUAUGGAUUGAUAAAAUCUGAUAAAAAGAGGGAUUCCAAGUAAGUGAUUCUAAAACUUAAGAUUUGUGAUGUUUGUAUGUAAUUAUGUGAUUUUUCUGAUAAACGUGAUAUUGUAUGUUUUCCUAAUACUUAUGAUAUGUGAUAUAUGGUGAUAUUGAUUAUACAUGUAUUAUAAACAUGACAUUGAUUUAUUGAUAUUAUGUUUCGGAUAUUGAGCAUGCUAUUAUUCUGAUUAUGAUUCGCAUGUUAAGCAUGCCAUUAUUUUGAUUUUGAUUCGUAUGUUAAACAUGCCACUGUGAUAAACUGUAAUAAGAUCUGAUUCGCAUAUAAAGCAUACCUACUGAAAUUCUGUUUUGUAUGCCAUAUCACAUGCAUGGGUUGGGAUAAUGUUGUAUGGAGGAAGAUUCUAGCAGUUUAGUAAUUUGCAAUUUUUGGUGGCUUGACCACAAUAUUCUGUAUCUAGUAGUAUAACUACAUUAUCUGGUGGUUUGACCAUAAUAUUUUGUUUUUGGCAUCUCGAUUACAAUAUCUGGUGGCCUGUCCACAUUAUUGGUGUGUUAUUGGAUGGACGAGUUCUGGGGAGCUCAUUAUGGUGUGUAGUAGAGAUGGAUAGGAACUGUUUUCUGAAAAAAUCUAUAAAUGUUUCUGCAAAAGUAUUGCAUUGACAUCGUCAUUAUGCAUUAUGAUAAAUAUGAUUCUGUGGUUGUAUAUUUAUGUGUAUAUAUGAUCUGUUAAAUUGAUGAUGUUUUGUAUUAAUUUUUGUUUAUAUGAUUUGUAACCAUAUUAGGCUUUAAAAAGUUCACCUCUUUAAGUUUUAGUCUUUCCAGAUAAUAAUCGAGGUUAGGAUGGGCUCAACUUGCAGAGGUGCACUUAGAAAUUUUAAGUAAAACUAUUAUAUUUUGGAUCUUGAUAUUUUGGGAUUUGCUUUCAUUUCUGUGGAUUGUAGCUUGGGACUUUGUUUUGGAUUUUAGUUUUUGGAUUGCUUUUGCAUGAUUUGAAAAUUUUAAACUAUAACUUAAGACGAAUUAUAAAAUUGAUGAGUAAAACUGGAUUUUUCGUAAUAAUGCCAAACUCAACUCAAUGAUUGUAUUUUCAAACUCAAUACUUCGUUUUCGGAACUCAACACUAGCUAUUCAUUAAACUGCGAUUUUACAAGAUAUAUUAAACAUAUGUUUUCAAAAUAAUGAAUGUGUUAUGUUAUAUUUCUUUUGUGACAUUUUCUUGAAAUAUGAUGUUUUCUGUAAACCAUCAAUACUUGAGUUUUUUUUCUAAAUAUAAAUGAUUUCGACAAUAAUUGGCUUUUCUUAAAGCAAAUCAAAACAACGUUUUAAAAUGAUGAAGAUUAUUAAAGAGAAAAUAGUUAAAAGAUUUUCUACACCAACAACAUGGCUAAUGUGAUCUUAGAGAUUUGGCAAUAACGUCUAGCCCAGGUUUAAGGGGUUACAUUUAGUGACAUCAGAGUUCAGGUUCAAAACUCGAAUCGUGGUUUAUUUUAGAAAAUGUAUGCAUAUUUGUGGAAAUGGGUAUUUUGGGAAAAUACAUGCCAUAGUUAAAACUCACUUUCAAACUGAAGUUUUGUUUUGUUCUAAAAAUUUGAGGCAUCGAAGUUGGCCUAAGAUAAGUACUUUCGUCUUAAUGAAUUUUUAAAUUGUGAAACUUUAAUUUGUGAAAAUAUAGAUUACUAUAGAUUGUGAACUCUAAAUUCUGAAAACUAUAGAUUCUGAAACUAUAGUGACGGAACUUUUAAAAUUGAAAACAUUCUAAAAUAAUAAUGAAAGCUUGUUUCUAAUUAUUAGAUAAAACUUCAUAAAACUUAGAAAUCCGAUAAUAAAGAUGAGUACUCAAGGUGUUCGUACUUGGGGUAUAAGAGUUCGUGGAGAGCAGAGUCUGGGAACCCAAAUUGAUUCGUUUGCAUCACAAAUGCGCACACUUGAUUCAUACUUGGGGUAUGAGAGUUCGUGAAGACUAGGUUGAAAACAUGACUACUCUUGAGGAGAAUCAUAAGGAGUCUACUGACGAUGUUGUGUUGCAUGCCAUGCCUAGGGUUCUUUAUCGUGUAGCUGAAACCCAAGGUGGAUCUGAAAAUCGUGGUACUAUGGCAAAAAGGCUCUGAUCUAACAAAGUCAAAUUGUAUAGGGGCGUUGUUGUGAUGAACCCCAUCGCAGCAGAAUACUGGUUAGAGGUUACAGAAAGAAUUCAUAAUGAUAUGGAAUGCACCCCAGAUUAGAAAUUGAAGGGUACAGUAUCACUGCUGAUAGAUGAGGCUUACCACUGGUGGCAAGGCAAGAUGUUGUGAGGUGUACCCAAGUUGAGAGAUUGACCUGGAAUAUUUUCUAGAUGCUUUCCAAAACUAUUAAGUUGGUAAGCAUUACAUUGAGGCCCGCAAAUUAGAGUUCAUUGAGCUCAAACAAGGGCAUAGAUCUAUGGCCAAACAUGAGACUGAAUUUCUGCAAUUGAGUCACUACACUCAGGGGAUGGUUGCAAAUAAGCAAGAUAGCUGCAUCAAAUUUGAUAACCGAGUGAGAUAUGAAUUGAUGGUAUUGGUGGCCCUUCACUAAGAAAGAGUUUUCGAAACGUUAGUGGAGAAAAUCAAGAUAGUGGAGGAAGUGAAUCAUUUGAAACGUGAAAAGAGGGAAAAAUCUAGAGUUCCUACAAAGAGAGAUGUUGGUUCUACUAGUCCAAGCCUCACGACCUAAUAACUGAGCCAGAGAUGACCGACCUAGGCAGAAUGUUGCUACCGCUACUGAUGGUGGGAAAGCCCAAUACUGUGCUACUUAUGACAAGAGGCAUCUGAGUGAAUAGUGGAAGAGCUUGGGUGCAUGCCUUAGAUGUGAAUCCUUGAAUCAUAAAAUUAAGGAUUGUCCGCUCCAGAAUGAACAAAUGGAAGCACCGAACCAAAAUCGAGCUCAGAACCAAAGAGUUGGACAGCAACCUCAGAGAAGUCAAUGUUUGAAUAUGCGUGGUAAUGUUGGACAGAGGCAAAGAGCUUAGGGUUAGGGUGCUAAUCAAACUGAUGCUAGACAACCUGCAUUGGUCUAUACAGCUAGACGCAGAAAAGACUGUGAUGCAAUCGACGUCAUAGCAGGUACCUUUACUAUUAAUUUUGCAUCGUAUUUCACUUUGAUUGAUAUUGGUUCAACCCAUUCAUAUGUUUCAUGCUUAAUGGAUGAUAAAUCAAUAAUAGAAGUAGAGGAGACUGUUAGUAAUGUGAUUGUACUUAGUCCCUUAGGGCAACCUGUUUAUGUGCAUAAAAUCUAUAAAUGGUACCCGUUAGGGAUAAAAAGAGAGGUAUUUCUGACAGACUUGAUUGAAUUACCUUUCAGUGAAUUCGAACUUAUUUUGGAAAUAGAUUGGUUGGUUGAACACCAAGUUAUUUUAGACUGCAUUACAAAGAGGGUUACCUUGAAAUCUUCCAUUGGCAAAAAGAUAGUAAUGGUUGGAGAGAUUACUUAUCUAACAUAAUCUCCGCACUAGUGGGCAAAAAGUUGGUGUGCAAAAGAUGCAAAGCAUAUUUGGCUUAUACUUUGGAUACAAGUGUUAGUGAAUCAUCUAUUAAAAAUAUUCAUAUAGUGAGUGAUUAUCCCGAUGUCUUUUUAGAGGAGUUACCUAGAUUACCUAAAGAGCGUGAGGUUGAAUUUGUAAUUGAUUUAUUGCUGAGAACAACUCCGGUGUCCAUCUCCUCAUAUCGCAUGGCACCUAAAGAGUUAGUAGAACUUAAGGCAUAGUUACAGGAACUUCUGGAUCAUAGAUUCAUUAGACCGAGAGUGUCACCAUGGGGAACUUCUGUUUUAUUUGUAAAGAAUGAUGGAUUCAUGAAACUCUACAUUGAUUAUCAGCAACUAAAUAAGUUGACCAUAAAGAAUUGAUACCCUUUUCCAAGGAUUAAUGAUUUAUUCAAUUAGUUCAAGGGUGCAAAGGUGUUCUCUAAGAUCAACCUAAGGUCUGGAUACUAUCAUUUGAAAGUGAAAGAGACAAAUGUUCUUAAGAUCGCAUUCAAGACUCGGUAUAAUCACUACGAGUUCCUUGUGAUGCCUUUUAGUCUCAUGAACGUUCCGACAGCCUUUAUAGACCUAAUGAAUUAAGUUUUUCAACCAUACCUUGAUGAAUUUAUCGUAGUCUUUAUCGAAGACAUCUUGAUCUACUCUAAAUCUGAAACAGAAUAUGAUGAGCACUUGAAAGGCAUCCUAUAAAUUCUUCAAGAGAAACAACUAUAUGCAAAAUUGAGUAAGUGUGAGUUCUAGCUACACUAAGUAAUGUUUUUGGGACACGUAGUAUCAACUGAGGGUAUCUAUGUUGACUCAAAGAAAAUUGAGGCUAUCUUGGACUAGAGCAACCUAAGAAUGUCAGUGAAAUCUGAAGUUUCUUAGGACUAACUAGCUACUAUAGGAGGUUUGUGAAAGGUUUUUCCUUGAUUGUAGCUCCAAUGACCAAGCUGUUGAGGAAAAGUACACCUCUCAAGUGGACUAAAGAGCAGCAAGAGAGUUUUGAAAAGCUUGAGUCCGUGUUAAACUCAAGCACCUAUUCUGAUUCAGCCAGAGUUUGGGAAGAAUUGUGUGGUAUACAAUGAUUUCUCUUAUAUCUGUCUUGGUUGUCUUUUGAUGCAAGACAGUAAGGUUGUAGCCUACGCCUCGAGACAGCUUAAGCCUCAUGAGCGUAAUUAUGCAACCUAUGAUCUCAAACUUGUAACUGUUGUUUUUGCCUUUAAGAUUUAGAGGCACUAUAUUUAUGGUGAUAAAUGUAUUAUCUACACAAAUCACCAGAGCCUUAAGUACCUUCUCACUCAAAAAGAGUUAAACGUGAGGUAGAUGAGAUGGAUUUAUUUGUUCAAGGAUUAUGAUUGUACCAUUGAAUACCAUCUGGGAAAGAAGAAAUUUAUUGUUGAUGCAUUGAGUAUGAAGUCGAUAAUUGAUUUGAGAAUGAUGUUCGUGAAGUUGAGUUUGACUGGUAAUAGAGGUUUACUUGUAGAGUUGCAAGUGAAACUUACCCUAGUGGAUGAAAUUCGAUCGAAGCAAUCUAUUAAUGCAUCUCUCGUGCCUCGAUUUAGGUAGGUUGAGAAAGGUAAAACUAUUGACUUCGGCCUUAAUUCUGUUGAAGUUCUGUGCUUUUGUGGGGGAUAUUGCACACCCAAUGAUCGAGAGUUUAGGGAUUCUAUACUUUGAGAAGCGCAUAGUAGCCCUUACGCUAUGCGUUCUAGAGAAAAUGAGAUGUACUAAGACUUGAGAGAAUUGUAUUGGUGGUCAAGGCUAAAGCGUGAUGUAAUUGAGUAUGUGAGUAAGUGUCUGACCCACCAGCAAGUUAAGGCUAAGCAUCAGUUCCUCUUUAGUUUGUUACAGUCUAUUCAUAUUCCUCAGUGGAAGUAGGAAUGUGUGACCAUGGAUUUUAUUAGUGGGUUGUUUUUGACAUCUACUAAGAAGGAUUCAGUCUAGGUUAUAGUGGAUCGACUGACUAAGUCAGCACACUUUCUAUCUGUCCGUACUGAUUAUUCGUUACAUAAGUUGAGAAGGUUAUACAUUCAGGGAUUGUGAGACUUCAUGGUGUACCGUUGUCCGUCAUUUUUUAUCAGGAUCCUCGGUUUACAUAUUAAUUUUGGUAAAAUUUGUACGAGGCUUUGGGAACUUGAUUGAACUUUAGUACAACUUUUCAUCCACAAUCUGAUGGGCAAUGUAAGCGAGCUAUACUUAUUCUAGGAGACAUGUUAAAGGGUUGUGUUAUUGACUUCAAUGGUAGUUGGGAGUAACACUUGCCGAUAGCCGAGUUUGUGUAUAAUAAUAGUUUUCAAUUGAGCAUUUAGAUGUCUCCUUAUGAAGUACUAUUUGCUCACAAAUGUCCUACACCUAUGUGUUGGACUGAGUUGGGGAAAAUAAAUUAUUAGGUUUAGAUUUGGUGCAAGAAACCGAGAAAGUGGUGAAACUGAUUUAGGAUCGAUUGAGAGCAGAAUUUAAUCAACAAAAAUCUUACACUGACUUGAGGCGGAGGGAUAUUGAGUUCAGUGUUGAGGACCAAAUUUUCCUUAAGGUUCUACCGUGAAAGAAAGUAAUGAGGUUUGGAUGUAAGGGCAAGCUAAGCCCGAGAUUCAUUAGACCUUAUAGAGUCUUUAAGAGGAUUAGACCGGUGGCUUACUAGUUAGAGUUACCUCCAGAACUAGACCCUAUUCGUGACGUGUUUCAUGUUUCUAUGUUCAGAAGAUAUUGUUCUGACCCAUCUCACAUGAUUCCGAUCAAUGAGAUCAAGGUUAGAACUGAUUUUUCAUAUGAGGAAGAACCAAUUCAGAUUUUGAACUACGAGGUCAAGACAUUAAGGCAAAAUAAAAUCCUCUAGUAAAAGUCUUAUGGCAGAACCAUGGUGUUAAUGAAGUUACUUGGGAAUUUGAGGAAUCGAUGCGUCAUCUUUACCCUCACUUGUUGGGACGAGGUAAAUUUUGAGGACGAAUUUUAUUUUAAGAGGGGUAGAGUUGUCACGCCCCAUAUUUUCUUUAUUUUAUUGCAUUAGUUUAUGACACAAGAAAUUAAAUGGCCUAGUGGUUAAGUGAGUGAAUUAAUUCCAAAAUAUCCCAUGUUUAAGGCCACACACUCUCAAUUUUUUUUAUUUAAUUUUUGACAAUUCCAAGUGGGUCAAACCCCCUUAGCCGUCCAUCUCACUUACCUUGUGGGAAAUGAUUCCUUUCUUUUUCUGUCUAGUCAACUUAUGUUAAAUAGCCCCCUUUUCACUCCCAUAAUUCACUUUCGGUGCCUUUGACCCCAUAUUGCCUUUUUUCCUUCCUUACCAUACCUUGGCCAACCAUGCACCUAGAUACCCUUUUAUUUCUCAUCUUUUCUCUCAUUCACUCCUUUUAGCCACUCCUCCUCCUUGCUCCUCCAUUUUAUUCUAUUUUCUUUUGUUUCCCCACCCCUUCUUCUCAAUUCUCAUCCAUUCCACCAUCUCUAAAAGUCACUAAACCAACACCUUACCACCGCCACCGUCGACCACACCUAAAUUCUCUGAUUCUUCUUAUUUUCUCUUCCUCUUCUUAUAAUCUAUUUAUCUAAUCCAUAAAUUUUGAUAUUUUGUUCACAAAAAGAAGUAUAUCACAUCCAAUUUAUAAUUAUUUAUUUUAUAUUAUGUUAUUUUUAGUCUAGUUGCAAAUCCUCCUCCCUAAUCAACUCUCCCUGGGAAGUUGUUGAGCCCCUAUUCCUUCAAUAUUAUGUAAGUUCGGACGAUCACCCGUUUAUGAUAUUCUUUCAUUUAUUUAUAUAUAUUCGAUAAGGACAAUACUAACCAUUCAAUUUAUUGGAUAUUAUGAGAUGUUGUUAGAAAAUCCUUAAUUUGAACCCCCGCUUUUGGAAGUGUGUGAUUGUACAAUCGAUUACGUAAGUAUUUCACCAAAUCGUAAAUUAAGGGUUAUUCAUUAAAAUAACAGAUUCUAAUACGGUAUAAAUAUUUUAUACGUAAGAAUUUAAGAUAUAAUCUCUUCCUUUAGAAGUUGGAAAUAGAGACGCAUCGGAUUUGAGAAAUAGGUAUGGGGAUUUUCCUUAAUAAAAUAUAUGAUAUUGUUUUUAUUAGAGAUAAAUAUAUAUGAAAGGAUUAAAUAAUUGUUUAAUAAAAUUUUUGAAAAGAAAAAAUGGACGAAUACACUAAGUAUUCAUAUGGAUUGAUAAAAACCGAUAAAAAUGAAGAUUCCAAGUGAUUCCAAAACUUCAGGUUUGUGAUCUUUGUAUGUGAUUAUGUGAUUUUUUUGAUACACAUGAAAUUGUAUGUUUUUCUAAUACUAAUGGUGUGAUAUAUGGAAAUAUUGAUUAUGCAUGUAUUAUAAACAUGACAUUGAUUUAUUGAUAUUCUGAUUCACAUGUUGAGCAUGCUAUUAUUCUGACUAUGGUUCGUAUGUUAGGCAUGUCAUUAUUCUAAUUCUGAUUCACAUGUUAAACAUGUCACUAUGAUAAAACGUAAUAAGAUAUGAUUUACAUGUAAAGCAUUCCUACUGAAAUUUGGUUCUGUAUGUCAUAUCACAUGCAUAAGGUUGGGAUAAUAUUGUACGGAAGAAGAUUCUUGCAGUUUAGCAAUCUGCAAUUUCUGAUGGCUUGACCAUAAUAUUCUGUAUCUUGCAGUAUAUCUGUAUUAUUUGGUGGUUUGACCAUUAUAUUCUGUUUCUGGCAGUUCGACUACAAUAUCUAGUGGCUUGUCCAAAUUAUUGGUGUUAUUGGAUGGAUGAGCUUUGGGGAACUCAUUAUGAUGUGUAGCAGAAAUGAGUAGGAAUUAUUUUCUUAAAAAUCUACACUACUUCUGAAAAAGUGUUACAUAGACAUCGUCAUUAUGCAUUAUGAUAAAUGUGAUCAUGUGUCACCCUUUUAAGUUUUUUUGGCUUUUUAGAUGAUAAUUGAGGUUAGGACGGGCUCAACUUAUGGAGGUGUACUAAGAAAUUUUCAGAAAAACUAUUAUAUUUUGGUACUUGAUAUUUUGGGAUUUGUUUUUAUUUCUGUAGACUGUGGCUUGGGACUUUCCUUUGAAUUUUGGUUUUUGGAUUAUUUCGCAUGAUUUGAAUUUUUAAACUAUCACCUAAAAAGAAUUAUAAAAUUGAUAAGUAAAACUGGAAUUUUCAGAACAAUGCCAAACUCAACUAACGAUUGUAUUUUGAAACUCAAUACUUUGUUUUCAAAACUCAACACUACCUACUCAUUAAACUGAGAUUUUACAAGAUAUAUUAAACAUACGUUUUCAAAAUGACGAAUGUGUUAUGUUAUUUUUUUUGUUGCGACAUUUACUUGAAAUAUGGUGUUUUCUGUAAACCAUCAAUACUUUAGUUUUUUUCCAAAGAUAAACAAUUUCGACAAUACUUGGCUUUUCUUAAAGAAAAUAAAAAUGACGUAUUAAAAUAAUGACGAUUAUUAAAGAAAAAGUAGUUAAAAGAUUUUCUGUGCCAACAAUAUGGCCAAUGUGAUCUUUGAGAUUCGACCAUAACAUUUAGACCAGGUUUAAGGGGUUACGAAGUUGUUGAGGAAGAAUGUUCUGUUUAAAUGGACGAAUGAUCAACAAGCUAUAUUUGAAAAGCUAAAGGCUGUGUUGUAACACCCCCAACCCAUAUCCCUCGCCAAAACUGGGUUACGAAGCAUUACCGGAGAUUACAGAUCAAACAAACAGAAAUCUCAAACAUUUUAUAUCAUCAAAACAAGUCAUCAAAGCAUCAUUUUAAUCCAAAUUAUAAACUCUCCAAAAUAGAUUUUAUAACUUCAUUUACAAUCAAACCACAAAAUAACUAAUAUUUAGAAACUUUAGGUACAUGCCGAAACAAAGAAAUAAACAUCACCAUAUUUGAGUUCGGGAUCAUUGUUGGAUACUGAAUCAGCGAUCAAACUCAAGUACUUAAUCUGCGCACGAAAAAUAAAAUCAUACGCUGAGUAAAAACUCAGUGGUAUUUCUAUAAUCCGAAUAUUUAAAAAUAAAACAAUAAAAUAUGUAUAAUAAAAUGUUAAGCACAAUUGAACAUUUAAAAUCACACAAUACUCAAUUUUCAUCACUUGCUAUAUAUAAUACAUUUCCAUAAUUUAUUCACGUAUCAUUUAAACAAUGGCACUAUCCAUUCCACAAUCAAUUUAUGAGUAUAUAACUCGUGUAUUCCAUGUAUUUACAACAUAUUUCACAUUCUAUUUUCAGUUUACUAUCUCAUAUUCUUAUUCUUAGCCCAAAGUAGAUUUUAUAGAACACACUGGAUAUACGGAACAAAUACAGAGGUGCAUUGUUAUGCACUAAAUAAUAGAGAGCACUGAAGUGCUAUACAGAAAGCACAGAUGUGCUAAACAAUCAGAGAGCACCAACGUGCUAAUAAUUAGAUUAUCAUAUUUGGGCAUGCCACUAAUAUCCCAAUAGUUCUAAAUUCCAUCUACUUGGGCAUUAAGGCUGAGUUCCUUAAUGGCAUGCCACUAAUAUCCCAGUAGUUCUAAAUUCCAUCUACUUGGGCAUUAAGGCUGAGUUUUAUACAUAUAAAAAAUAAUUCAAUUAUCGUAUUUGUACAAUUUCACAUUUACACAUAUAUAUUCAUAAUAUAUAUAUUCCAAUUUAAUUCAACCAAUAUAAUUUCAUCACAUACCAAAACAAUCCAUUUCAAUUGUAAAACACAAUAAUUCUCACCUCAAUCACUUACCAUAACAUUUAAUCAAAAUACAACAAUUAAUAAUUAGAUUCGGAUUAUAGAAAUACAAACCAGGAAUUCCGAGCUAUUCCUCGUCGAUUAUAUUUUUCCCCUUUUUAGUCGAGAAUUCCGGUACGACGAUUGCUACAGAAUUAAAACAAUUAAAAAUCAUCAAUACAACACCAUUCAAUCUCAUAUUAAAUAUUUCAAUUUUUACUCAAUAUUUACCUAAAUUCCAAUUUAGUCCCUGAACCGAGACUAACUUUUAUUCUCAAAACUAAUUUCAUAUUUUCAUUCCAUUCCCACUUUAAAAUAAUUUAAUUCUCUAAUUUCACCAUAAAUCUAUAAUUUUGAAAUUCUCUCAAUUUAGUCCCUAUUAAUUCAAAACUUAUGUUUUAUUUUACAAAUCCACCCUUUUACUAACUUCUAACUUGAAAUUCAAUCAAUUUAACCCCUAAUUCAUCAAUUAAUUCAACAUGAACAACAUCUAAAAAUUUACUAACUUUGAACCUUGAAAAUUAACUAAGAGAAAAGGGAUUAAAUUGACUUACCAAAUUAACUUUGAACCUUGAAAUCCCAAAUUUCCCUUUUUCUUUUUCUUUCUCCCCUUUUUUUUUCUCUCUAUUUCUAUUCUCUUUUCCUAUCUUUUAUUUCAUUGUUCUUUUUAUUAUAUAAUAUUAUAUAAUAUAUAUACUUAACUUUUAAGUAAUAUUAUUAUAAUAAUAAUAUAUUUUAACUUUAGAUUUUUAAAAAAAAAAUCUACUUAUGCCUCAUCAACUUUAGAAAAAGGCAUAAUUGUCUAUUUGGUCCUUUUAACUUUUCUUUAAUCUUUAACUUAUGCUUCCUUCUAUUGCAAUUUAAUCCUUUUUAAUCAAUUAACCAUCGAAACAUUAAAAUUUCUUAACGAAACUUUAACACUACCCUAAUGACACUCCGUAAAUAUUUAUAAAAAUAUUUAUGGCUCAGUUUAUAAUAUCGAGGUCUCGAUACCUUAUUUUCGACCCAAUUUACCAAAUAAUUUCUUUUAAAUCACAAAAUUCACUAAUUCAAAAAUAUUUCUAAAAUCACGCUUAACUUAUAAUUAUUAAUUAAUAAUUUUUUCUAACUUUUUCAUGGAAUAUAGUGAUCUCAAAUCACUGUUCUAACACUACUGAAAAUUGGGUUGUUACAUGUGUUAACUUAAGCUCCCAUAUUAACUCAGCCUGAGUUGAGAAAAGAGUACGUGGUGUAUAGCGGUGCAUCCUACACUGGCCUUAGAUGUGUGUUGAUGUAAGGUGGAAAAGUAGUUGCCUAUGCAUCGAGGCAUUUGAAAUAGUACGAGUGCAACUAUUCGACUCAUGACUUGGAGUUGGUAGCAGUGGUAACCGCACUAAAAAUUUGGAGGCACUACUUGUAUGGUGAGAAGUGUUAUAUCUAUACUGAUUAUAAGAGUCUCAAGUGUCUUCUCAUCUAGAAAAAGUUGAACUUGAGGCAACGAAGGUGGAUAAAACUAUUAAAAGAUUAUAACUAUAUAAUUGAAUACCACCUCGGAAAAGCUAAUGUAGUGGCAAAUGCUCUAAGUAGAAAAUAGAUGAUCAGUCUAAGAGCAAUAUUUGCUAGGUUAAGUCUAAUGGAUGAUUGAGGCUUACUAGAUGAACUAUAAGUGAAAACUACCUUGGCUAAUGAGAUCAAGGAUAAACAACCAUUAGAUGUGUCCUUGUUGCAAUGGAUUAAGCAAGUGAAAGAUGGAAAAACUAAGGACUAUAGGUUUAACGAUGAAUGUCCUUUGUGCUUUUUUGGAAGGUAUUGUGUGUCAAAUGAUAAGGAUUUAAAACAGUCCAUACUUCGGGAAAUGCAUGCUAGCCCUUAUGCCAUGCAUCUUGGAGGAAAGAAAAUGUAUCAAAAUUUAAGGGAACUAUACUAGUGGCUUGGACCAAAACGUGAGGUGACAGAAGUUGUAGCUAAAUGUCUAACGUGACAGCAAGUGAAAGCUGAACACUAGUUCCCUUCCACCUUAUUACAACCGAUUAAAAUAUCUCAGUGGAAAUGGGAGCGUAUAACAAUAGACUUUGUUAGUGGGUUACCCUUAAUACCCACCAAGAAAGAUUCAAUUUGGGUAAUAGUAGUUCGAUUAACUAAGUCAACUCAUUUAUUAUUUAUUCAUAUGAAUUACUCUUUACAAAAGCUAACUAAGUUAUAUAUUUCAGAAAUUGUAAGGUUGCAUAGGGUACUCUAUCAAUUAUUUCAAAAUAAGAUCCUCGUUUCAUAUCUCGAUUUUGGAAGAACCUACAUGAGGCACUGGGUACUCGUUUGGAUUUUAGCCACUACUUUCCAUCCGCAAAUUGAUGGACAGUCCGAAUAGGUUAUUUAGAUAUUAGAAGAUAUGCUAAGGAAUUGCAUUAUCGAAUUCCGAGAUAGUUGAUAGAAACAUUUGCUUCUAGUUGAAUUUGCCUAUAAUAAUAUCUUUCAAUCAAGUAUACAAAUAGAACAUUAUGAAGCUUUGUAUGAUCAUAAGUUUCGAACACCAUAGUGUUCGACUAAACUGGGUGAAAGAAAAAUUUUGGGUCCCGAAAUGGUACAAUAGUCUAAGGGGAAAAUUAGAUUAAUCCAGGAUAGGUUGAAAGCGACUUCAGAUAAGUAGAAGUUGUAUGCGAACCUAAGGAGAAAGGAUAUUGAAUACAGUUUCAAAGACUAAAUCUUCUUGAAAGUGUCUCUAUGGCAGAAAGUGUUGAGAUUUGAAUGAAAAGGAAAGUAAGCCCUAGGUUUAUUGGACCUUAUAAAAUCCUUAAGAAAGUCGGUCUAGUGGCAUGCCAAUUAGAAUUACCUCCUAAAUUAGACCACAUUCAUGACUUUUUUCAUAUUUCCAUGUUGAGACGAUACCGAUCUGAUCAUUCCCAAAUUGUACCAAUUUAAGAGAUUAAGGUGAGACUAGAUUUGUCAUUUAAGGAAAAACCCGUAAAAAUUCUAGAUCAUGAAGUUAAGGUUAUAAGAAGGAAACAGAUCCCACUUGUUAAGGUUCUAUAGCAGUACCAUGGCAUUGAAGAGUCCACGAGGAAACCAGAAGACUCAAUCUGUCAACAAUAUCCUCAUUUGUUUGAAUUAGGUAAAUUUUUAGGACGAAAUUUCUUUAAAGAGGGGAGAGUUGUUACACCCCAAAAUAUAUAGGGUUAAUUGUAGUUUAUAGACAAUAAUUCAAUUAGGCUUGAUUAUUAAGACCUAAGCUUUCCCCAUUGUAAUCCUAGGUUCGAGCUACCUACCUCCCAUUACUUUUCUUUUUAUUUUCAGCAACUUAGGGUAAAAGUUACAUUUAAAAUAUAUAAGAUUAGGAAUAAAAACUAAACAAGAAAUAGGCUUUAGGCCUAAUGGUUAAAAUGCUAAGCUUCCCUUCCCAGUGACCCGAGUUUGAGCUACUCUUCUCUCUUCCAUUCCUUUUAUUUUCAACAACAAUGGAUAUAUUGCUAUGAUGCCCCUUACGAUUUUAAAACCCUAGGUGUUUAGUCCAUCAUUUCCCAAUUUGACUAGGCAUAUUACUUUGUUCUCAAUUCCUAUUAGGAAUUUUCCUUCUUUUCUCUAUUUCUUCUCCUUUUCUUUCCUUUCCUCUUCUUUGCAUCAUAUUUUUCAUAUUUUUGCUGUUGAAUAUUUUGUUUUCCUGAAUUAAAACAUCCACCAUUUAAUCAUUUUUCUACCAGUUUCAUAAUUGUCAUCAAUAGUAUCAAGAUUUUUUCCAAAAACGGUAAGUACAUUUCGUUUCGAAGUUUAGAUCUCAAAUUUUCGUAAUAUUUCUAUCUGACGCUAAUCUUACAUUCGAUUAAACCAUAUUUUAACAGUUCUUGCCAAAUAUUUUGUUAAUUUAACGAAUUUUAAAAUAAAUCAUUAAGUCAUGUAUAAAUGUCAUUGAAGAACCGAGAUUUAGGCGGAUCAAAUUAGAUUUGAUUAUGAGGAACGUCAAUCGGACUCUUGGUGAAAGGUGUGUGUUCUUUAAUAAGUGAAUCAAGGUAAACCGUGUGUAUGUUUAAGGCCUCAUGGUCUCCCACACGGGUGUGUGGACCACACAGUCAUGUACCACUGUUACGUUAGGGUACUUCAAUUUUCACACAACCAAGAACCUUCCACAUAGCUUGCCACAUGACCGUUUCUUUUUUAUAGGGUAAUUUUUAUGUUUGCCACACGGUCACAGCUUGUUAUACGGCCUAGCCACAUGAUCCUGUAACCCUUCUACAUAGCCUAUAGCUUCAUACGGCCGUGUGUCCCCUGUCUUACAGUAUUGCCCAAAAUUUUUUAAAUUAUUCAGUUUAGUCCCUGUAUAACCCUCAAAUUAUUUUUAGAGUUUUCACUCACUAUAUUGAGUCCCUGAUAUUAUCAACAUGCUAGAAUUUAUGAGUUGAUGAUUGAAUUGCUAUUAUAUAAUGAGGAUAUGUGAAUGUUACAUGUCUACUGUCACCGUUUCUUUGAUGAACUGAUACUGUUAUUCUUACAAAUGUAUUAUCGAUUGCAUGUUUAACAUGCUUACUGUUACUGUUGAAUCGAAUACAUGUUAAGCAUGUCUACUAUUUUUACAUAUACUGUUGCAAGCAUGUCAUAUCGCAUUGCAUAGGGUGGGACGAUUAUAUAGAGGAAGUACUGACAGUUUAAUAAUCUACAACACUAGUGGUUCAUCCACAAGUUACUAACAGUUUUUAUCUGUAAAUAUGUUUUGCAUCCACAACAAGUGGAAAUUUAUCUGUAAAUGUUUUUGUCUAAAAAUACUAGUGGUUUAACCACAAACUUGAAUGUAUUGGUUGGAAGAGUUCUGGGAGACUCUUACUGUGGAGUGAAAUGGAGUAUGGGUAGGAUCUUUCCUGUUAUUCUUGUAUCACAUGACAAUCACCUACAUGUUCAAUAUAAUUGUAGACUUAUGCUUUGCUAUACGAUUGUGUUUGUUCUGAAAAUGGAUUGUAAUAUGUAUGGUUACUAUUUUGCACUUGAUUACUUGUGAUAAGACUCACACUAAGCUUCUUAAGCUCACUCCCCUUUAAUUUCCAUCUUUACAGAUAACCCACUAGGUUAGGGCACAGACUUGGCAUCCGGAGGGUCUUGAUUUGAAAUCAUUUUUUAUAAAGUAUUUUUAAUGGAAAUUUCUGUUAUUCAAAAACUGUAUUGUUUUAUUUUUGAACUGUGAUAUGAGACUUAUGUUUUGGGUUUAUAUAGCGUGCAUUGCAUUUAAUUUGAAUUUAGGAUAUUGAAACAUAGAUUUAGAAUUAAUUAUGCAUAAAAUAAUUCUGAUUUUUCUUAAUUGAAACUAAGUUGAAUAUCAGUUUUCUGCUACUAGAUUUUAAGUAAAUUAUGAGUAGUAAAUAAAUUGGAAAUUAACUAAGUUUUCAAAAGUAGUCACCGUUAUAAGGAAAAUGUUAAAUUUAAUCUGUUUUUGUUAACUCAUGAUUUCUUUUUGGAGAUAGGCUAAGUUUUCUUCUCAGAUAAAUAAAAGUUUUAAAAUGAUUGUUUUAUAAACGCUGUUAGCUUAUUGGGCCAUUUCAGUGGCCAAUAUACUAUUCUGAAUUCGGGCCUAACGUCUAGGCUGAGUUGGGGAGAUUACAUCUAAUCCAGGAACUAAUCCCACCAAACGAUUGGUUUGGAGAUUCCAUAGCUUGGGUUACGCCAGCAAGACAACAAAACUUCCUAAGAUACACAGGUAGUUAUAUUUCAUUCCCAGAAAUAUAAUACUUUGUUACUUAUUGUGUAAAGUCUCACUAAGUUCAUCUGAACUUACUAUUGUACUGCCUUUGAUGUAGGAUCAAAAUUAUCGAAGUCGUAGUGGAAAAGACCAAGCCAGACCCCGCCAACAUUGCGCUAAGGUUGCGACAGUUAUAACAUGCGUAUAAAGGGACACCCUUAGAGGCCACACCUCAUGGAUCAUGUCGGUUAUGUCUGUAUCAAAGUCUACAUUAAAAUUUUUAUAAAUAACUAUCAAGUUUAUUACAGUAUCAAUUUUGUACAAAUUUAUUUCGUAAAUGUCAUGAGUAGAAAUUAAAAUUUUAAAUCUGAUAAUGUCUAAGUACAUAAUUAAAUUAGUUUAAAAAUUUGUUAAGUUAUGCAAGUUGAUUAUGACAUUCAGUACUCGGACUUGAUGAUCGGGUUGGGCAUAAAGUGUUACAGUAAAAGUGGUGCCUCCCUCGAUUCUGUCAUUGAGAACCAUCGAUUCAUCUCUGCCUCGUUCACCUAAUUUCCAUCUCUGUUUUGGUACUUUUUGCUCUGUGUCGAAACUCUCGUUCCUAGUCUGCCUCAAAUCUACCACACCGCUAAAGUUUUUAGUUCGCUGUCAAAAUAUGUCUUCAAUGUCAAAGAUCUAGGGACGUAUAUGAUACGUCUCCAUUUCCUUCGAUUCAGUUCAUCAAGAUUGGAUCUGGGUAACUCUCGAUUUCACGUUUUGGUUAAUAGGUUAGUAGCUUUAACCAAUUUUAGCGAUGGGGAUAUAGUAAUCCUAAAAUUAUAUAAUAUUUUCUUUGGUUUAACUCAGAGAAGCUUGAAAUUCAUUUCGUUUUGGUUGUCGGUGUUGUCAAUUUUAAAGAUCGUCUCUUUCACCUUCUUUCUUCUUCUUUGCUUCUCUGUUCUCUUUAUUUUUUGAAUCCUUUCGGCUACUGGUGUUGUCAAUUUGAUGGAUUUGGCAUUUGGGUUUGACUUCGAGUAAUGGGGGCUUUUGAAUCGUUAGGUUGCUGUGGUGAGAAUGAUGAAACAGAGUAGAUGGUUGUGGUGGUUUUAGGGUGAUGGUUGAGUAAUAAUGGUACGAUGAAAUAUCAAAGGAAGUGGUAAAGCUUGGGAGCAAGCUAUGAUGGGGUAAAUGGAGUAAUAAUAUGCAUUUAUAUAAUAUUUUUAUCAAAACAUUUAUAUAAUUAAUAUUAAAAAAUAUUAUUUAAUUAUAUUUUUCAUUAUUAGUAAUUAUUUAAUUUAAUACAAAAUAUAAUUUAAUUUAAAUAUUUUUACAAUAUAUUAUUAAUAUACUUAAAAUAUUUUUUAUUUCUAAGGGUAAAAAUAUCAUUUGUGAUCAUUCCAUAUCUAUUCUGUUCAACUAAACGUAUGAAUACCAUUACAAUACUCAUUUUAUUUAAUCUAACCAAAUCACUGUUAUGCCUAUUUAAUUUUAUUAUAGUCAUAUUUCAUUCUCACAGAAUGACUACGUUAAGAUAUAAAUUUUAUGAUUACUUUAGUCAAUGAAGAAAUAGUUUAAAGGAUACAUAUAUUUUAAGCGUGUGAUAUUGAAGCCACAUGAUAGGCGGAAUCCAAGUAGUGAUCGUAUACGACAGGGAAUCCCAAUUUUAGUCAUAACAUGGAAUCUCUUUCUUGACUUUAUAAUUUGUCGUUGUUUAUUAAAGAAAUCAAAAUACCAUUUGUCAUUCUCACAAUGAAUCCAUUUCCAUUACGCCUUUGACAUUCAUUCCUCACCAUUUACAUUAUAAUCUCUUUUUAUCUUUUUCUUAUACCCAACACUUCAUAUUAAUCCUAUCUUUUUUCCCAAUUAAUAUAUUUAUAUGUCGAUUUUAAAUGUUUAUAAUGUUAAAUUUAAUCCUAAUCCUUAUAUAUUUUAAUUUAAAUUAUUCUUUUUAAUGCAAAAAUUAAUUGAACUAUUAAAAUUUUAAUGAUAAUAACGUGAUAACCCAUGUGGGAUCUAUAUGUAUUUUAUUGCUACUAUGAAUAGUUUUAAAAAGCAU